RNAcentral lists this ribosomal RNA (253 nucleotides) under uncultured bacterium. RNAcentral's name for it is "partial 16S ribosomal RNA". It matches the Rfam family "Bacterial small subunit ribosomal RNA", at positions 524 to 776 of the family's 1533-position model. The record is from RNAcentral.
UACGUAGGGUGCGAGCGUUGUCCGGAAUUACUGGGCGUAAAGAGCUCGUAGGUGGUUUGUCGCGUUGUCCGUGAAAACUCACAGCUCAACUGUGGGCGUGCGGGCGAUACGGGCAGACUGGAGUACUGCAGGGGAGACUGGAAUUCCCGGUGUAGCGGUGAAAUGCGCAGAUAUCAGGAGGAACACCGAUUGCGAAGGCAGCUCGCUGGGACGUAACUGACGCUGAGACGCGAAAGCGUGGGGAGCGAACAGG